GCGGGAGUAGUUCAGCGGUAGAACACCACCUUGCCAAGGUGGGGGUCGCGGGUUCAAGUCCCGUCUCCCGCUCCA
RNAcentral lists this transfer RNA (75 nucleotides) under bacterium. RNAcentral's name for it is "tRNA-Gly". It matches the Rfam family "tRNA". From Rfam's summary of the family: Transfer RNA (tRNA) molecules are approximately 80 nucleotides in length. Their secondary structure includes four short double-helical elements and three loops (D, anti-codon, and T loops). RNAcentral also lists the same sequence under 3 other names. The record is from RNAcentral.